ACCUGGGAAGCACGCAGGACGGACGGACGGGAUGAGUAAAGCUCAGGACCUCCGAGACGUCUCACUUUCACCAUUCAUUCGGGGCGCUGGGAGGUGGAGGCCUCAGCAUUUCCUAACUUAUUUUUUUAUGAAGCACUCGCCUCACCCAGUAGACUGAGAGUGUGCUCCCCGUUGACCUCAGCUCAGAAAGAAGGGAAGUCUGAUGCUAAGCUCCUCUUCCUCUACCACGGGCUCCACGCACCCCAAGACCCCCCGGGAGGUCCCGAUCCUCCUUCAGAACCAGAGCACAAGGACCGUCUUUCAUGCUCUUUUCUUGGUAGAACCUGACCUGUUGCAGAGCCGAGCGCCCCGCCUCUGUCUUGGGCACGUGACAGUCAGCCCUCAGGAACUUAGGUCCAGACCAAUAACGGACUUGUUGGCAUCCCCUCAUCUCCCAGUUAUGAAUUCCUUGGGUUCCGUGUGUCUCUACGUUCCAGUUGGUAGCACCUAACGAGUCUGCUGAAUGGAUUUUCCCUUAGUUUGAAUCCCUGCCUGGUUUGGCCAUAAGAAAACAAAUACCAUUCAUGGGGUGUGUGACAUAGACGCUGGUGCUCCCCAAUUAUUCCAUGAGAUCCUGCAUAUUUUCCAGCCUUCCUGGCACUUAGCAUGGAGCCAGGUGACAAAUUUAAGUUCACGGGCUCAAGGGGGAGUGAAGCAAUGCACAGCACUUGCCACCCGAGGACAUCGAGGAGGCUGAAAGCUGCACGCAUCUGCCGCGGUGGCUGGAAGCGAAGAACGCUGAGACGGUGAAGGGGCCACAGGGAGCAUUGCUAAGCGCACCACUGCUGAAAGGCGGCCACCAGAGAGGAUGGGCUGACCUGUAUCAGACUGCUCCGAAAGUGACAAAUAAGCCUCUGGCUUUGGAGGUUUGCUGCCACAGCAAAACUUAGCUUUACCCUGACCAACCGCGGGUGAGUUUCACAAGCUGAAAGUGUAAGGAGGAGACAAGCCCGUGGAAUAUGACAGCAUCACCGCGGGUGAGUUUCACAAGCUGAAAGUGUAAGGAGGAGACAAGCCCGUGGAAUAUGACAGCAUCACUGGCUAGCAACAUCUUCUGAUAUCCUGGAAUUAGUCGGGAUGGGCCAUGGAUCUGGAUCUGAAACUUUUAAAUCGAAAUGGGGACAAGAGCAUCCCUAUGACGUCAUUGGAGAAUCUGAGGCAUAGAGAAGCGAAGGGAUGGGCUUCUCGGAUUAGGAGUGAGCGAAGCAUGAGAACAGAGACCUCAAUUUCCCCUGGGCUGUUUCCCACCCUUCCUAGUUGGGAUUUCUCCUCCCCCAGCAUUUGUGCCCUUUGAGUUAGUAUUCUAGGCAUGAGACUGACCUAUUUCGAAGUGGGACAGGUUGGCGUCUCUAAAGCGGGUUCCACAGAAGACUCUGUUUUGAAGCAACAUGGUGGUAAAGAGGUUAACACUGAAUGGGAGUUUUACUUCCAGGCAGGGAUCUCGAGCCCUGGUGGAAAGACUGCAGCUGCCCUGUGGCCCAGAUAAUGCAACAUCGGGCUGAGCAAGGACAUCUGAGAACAUUCUGUUCUCCUCCCCCGAGACCAAUUAAAAUCUGGAGGCAUCUUUCUUGUUGAUCGAGCUGACUAACUAAUUGAAACGGAAUUGUGAUAUUUUCAUCAGCUUUCUCUUAUCCCUCUUGGCCUUGCCAGCAGAGAGCAAGUUGAAUGAUCAGAGAGUUUCAAGCAUGUGAGGCCCAGGGAACGGAACCCCUCUCACCGUAAACCACUACAUUUCCACGGAACAAGGUUCGAAAAAGGAUGAUGCGGGGUCGAGAGUAGGGCGAUACGCUCAAAUCUCAGUCUCAGUUCAUCCAGAUACCAAAGAUACCAUCUUCGGGAUUCCUGAUGAACCAUAAAGCUGUCCUUCAGCAGUUGCUGCUCCAAUAAACCAGCUUCUGACCUCUGCCUUCCUAACGAACAUCCCUCUGCCUGACUGCGGAAGCUCCUAGAAACAAAGAACCAAACGCCUCUGAGGCCCAACAAGAUCCCUUUCCUUCCAUUGAGCUAGAAUGUAUUUCCUCGGCACGUGCAAAUGGCCUAGUGGUUAAUCUUAGCAAUUGUCCCAAAGGACAUCCAAGCCUCUGGGAAUGGGUUACAUGAUUGAGAUUGCAGGACCUUUUUCUGCUUCAGCAUGAAGACCUGCAUGUUAGCAUUUGUGAGGAGAGCUCAAGAUGGGGGGAAGUCCUCUUGGCUCCUGAUCUAAGGAAGAGCUGCGUCUUAAGCAUUGGUAGAAUUGCUCAUGUGUCCAGUGUGAGGUGGCCUUGGCUGACAAGCUAUCAAAAUAAAUAAAUAACAAGAAAAUGG
RNAcentral lists this long non-coding RNA (2343 nucleotides) under Sus scrofa (pig). RNAcentral's name for it is "lncRNA (ENSSSCG00000033745.3)". The record is from RNAcentral. Lineage: Eukaryota; Metazoa; Chordata; Mammalia; Artiodactyla; Suidae.